This 497-nucleotide ribosomal RNA is filed under the name uncultured bacterium. Its description in RNAcentral is "bacterial SSU rRNA". It matches the Rfam family "Bacterial small subunit ribosomal RNA", at positions 28 to 516 of the family's 1533-position model. The record is from RNAcentral.
GAUGAACGCUAGCGGCAGGCUUAACACAUGCAAGUCGAGGGGCAGCAUGAAGGUUAGCAAUAACCUUUGAUGGCGACCGGCGCAAGGGUGCGUAACGCGUGAGCAACUUGCCCGUUUCAGGGGGAUAACCGGUGGAAACGCCGACUAAUACCCCAUGGCAUCAUUAGGAGGCAUCUCCUUCUGAUUAAAGAAUUUCGGAAACGGAUAGGCUCGCGUGACAUUAGCUAGACGGCGGGGUAACGGCCCACCGUGGCGACGAUGUCUAGGGGUUCUGAGAGGAAGGUCCCCCACACUGGAACUGAGACACGGUCCAGACUCCUACGGGAGGCAGCAGUGAGGAAUAUUGGUCAAUGGUCUGACGACUGAACCAGCCAUGCCGCGUGAAGGUCACGGCCCUAUGGGUCUUAAACUUCUUUUGCAAGGGAGCAAUAAGUUCUACGUGUAGACUGAUGAGAGUACCUUACGAAUAAGCAUCGGCUAACUCCGUGCCAGCAGCC